GACGAACGCUGGCGGCGUGCUUAACACACGCAAGUCGAACGGAAAGGCCUGCUUUCCCUUGUGGUUUGCGGGUACUCGAGUGGCGAACGGGUGGGUAACACGUGAGUGAUCUGCCCCCAACUUGGGUAUAAGCCUGGGAAACUGGGUCUAAUUCCCGAUAGGACUGCAGGGUGGUGCCUGUGGUGGAAAACGAUUUUCUAGUGGUUGGGGAUGAGCUGGCGGCCUAUCAGCUUGUUGGGGGGGUAAUGGCCUACCAAGGCGGCGACGGGUAGCCGGCCUGGGAGGGGGGACGGCGACAUUGGGACUGAGAUACGGCCCAGACUCCUACGGGAGGCAGCAGUGGGGAAUAUUGCACAAUGGGCGGAAGCCUGAUGCAGCGACGCCGCGUGGGGGAUGACGGCCUUCGGGUGGUAAACUCCUUUCGACCGCGAGGAAGCCACCUGGUUGGAAGGGUGGUGACGGUAGUGGUAGAAGAAGCACCGGCUAACUACGUG
This 494-nucleotide ribosomal RNA is filed under the name uncultured bacterium. RNAcentral's name for it is "partial 16S ribosomal RNA". It matches the Rfam family "Bacterial small subunit ribosomal RNA", at positions 28 to 507 of the family's 1533-position model. The record is from RNAcentral.